AAUCAACGCUGGCGGCGUGCCUAACACAUGCAAGUCGAACGCGAGAGGGGCUUCGGCCCCGAUUGAGUGGCGAACGGGUGAGUAACGCGUGGGUGACCUACCUUCGAGUGGGGAUAACGUCCCGAAAGGGACGCUAAUACCGCAUAACAUUCUGCUUUUGAAUGGGUGGAGAUCAAAAGCCGGGGAUCGCAAGACCUGGCGCUUGAUGAGGGGCCCGCGUCUGAUUAGCUAGUU
This 234-nucleotide ribosomal RNA is filed under the name uncultured bacterium. RNAcentral describes it as "partial 16S ribosomal RNA". It matches the Rfam family "Bacterial small subunit ribosomal RNA", at positions 32 to 250 of the family's 1533-position model. The record is from RNAcentral.